Molecule: long non-coding RNA, 1045 nt
Organism: Dicentrarchus labrax (European seabass)
Lineage: Eukaryota; Metazoa; Chordata; Actinopteri; Moronidae
Exons: 10
Source: RefSeq, a predicted model, not a curated record
CUGGACCGACCGGACCGGACCGGACUGAUAGUAGAAUAUACAGAAACACAAAGCUAGAGGAAGGUUAGGGUUAGUGGAGGUUAAUGGUUGUUAGUGGAGGUUAGUGGAGAUUAAUGGAGGUUAGUGGAGGUUAAUGGAGGUUAGUGGAGAUUAAUGGUUGUUAGUGGAGGUUAGUGGAGGUUAAUGGUUGUUAGUGGAGGUUAAUGGUUGUUAGUGGAGGUUAAUGGAGGUUAGUGGAGGUUAAUGGUUGUUAGUGGAGGUUAAUGGUUGUUAGUGGAGGUUAGUGGUUGUUAGUGGAGGUUAAUGGUUGUUAGUGGAGGUUAGUGGAGAUUAAUGGAGGUUAAUGGUUGUUAGUGGAGGUUAGUGGAGGUUAGUGGAGAUUAAUGGUUGUUAGUGGAGGUUAGUGGUUGUUAGUGGAGGUUAAUGGUUGUUAGUGGAGGUUAGUGGAGAUUAAUGGAGGUUAGUGGAGGUUAAUGGUUGUUAGUGGAGGUUAAUGGUUGUUAGUGGAGGUUAGUGGUUGUUAGUGGAGGUUAAUGGUUGUUAGUGGAGGUUAGUGGUUGUUAGUGGAGGUUAAUGGUUGUUAGUGGAGGUUAAUGGUUGUUAGUGGAGGUUAGUGGAGAUUAAUGGUUGUUAGUGGAGGUUAGUGGUUGUUAGUGGAGGUUAGUGGAGAUUAAUGGUUGUUAGUGGAGGUUAGUGGUUGUUAGUGGAGGUUAAUGGUUGUUAGUGGAGGUUAGUGGAGAUUAAUGGUUGUUAGUGGAGGUUAGUGGUUGUUAGUGGAGGUUAAUGGUUGUUAGUGGAGGUUAGUGGAGAUUAAUGGUUGUUAGUGGAGGUUAGUGGAGAUUAAUGGUUGUUAGUGGUUGUUAGUGGAGGUUAAUGGUUGUUAGUGGAGGUUAGUGGAGAUUAAUGGAGGUUAGUGGAGAUUAAUGGUUGUUAUUAGGACAACCUCACUUCCACUCAUGUUCAUGCUGAACCGUUCAGUCAGAUCAAAGUAUGGUUGGAAUAAUCAAACAAACAAGCAAGCACUUUCCUCUCGGGAUGAACGAUA